RNAcentral lists this ribosomal RNA (269 nucleotides) under uncultured prokaryote. RNAcentral describes it as "partial 16S ribosomal RNA". It matches the Rfam family "Bacterial small subunit ribosomal RNA", at positions 524 to 792 of the family's 1533-position model. The record is from RNAcentral.
UACGGAGGGUGCAAGCGUUGUCCGGAAUCACUGGGUGUAAAGGGUGUGUAGGCGGGAUUGUAAGUCAGAGGUGAAAUCCUACAGCUCAACUGUAGAACUGCCUUUGAUACUGCAAUUCUUGAGUUUCGGAGAGGUCAUUAGAAUUCGUGGUGUAGCGGUGAAAUGCGUAGAUAUCACGAGGAAUACCAGAGGCGUAGGCGGAUGACUGGACGAAUACUGACGCUGAGGCACGAAAGCGUGGGGAGCAAACAGGAUUAGAUACCCGCGUA